AGUCGAGCGGCAGCGCGGGGGCAACCCUGGCGGCGAGCGGCGAACGGGUGAGUAAUACAUCGGAACGUACCCCGUAGUGGGGGAUAACGCCGCGAAAGCGGCGCUAAUACCGCAUAUGCUCUGCGGAGGAAAGCGGGGGACUCGCAAGGGCCUCGCGCUAUGGGAGCGGCCGAUGUCCGAUUAGCUUGUUGGCGGGGUAAAGGCCCACCAAGGCGACGAUCGGUAGCUGGUCUGAGAGGAUGAUCAGCCACACUGGGACUGAGACACGGCCCAGACUCCUACGGGAGGCAGCAGUGGGGAAUUUUGGACAAUGGGGGCAACCCUGAUCCAGCCAUGCCGCGUGCGGGAAGAAGGCCUUCGGGUUGUAAACCGCUUUUAGCUGGGAAGAAAAGGCACGGGCGAAUACCCUGUGUUCUUGACGGUACCGGCGGAAUAAGCACCGGCUAACUACGUGCCAGCAGCCGCGGUAAUACGUAGGGUGCGAGCGUUAAUCGGAAUUACUGGGCGUAAAGCGUGCGCAGGCGGUUCGUUAUGUCUGUGGUGAAAGCCCCGGGCUCAACCUGGGAAUGGCCAUGGAAACUGGCGGGCUGGAGUGUGGCAGAGGGGGGUGGAACUCCUGGUGUAGCAGUGAAAUGCGUAGAUAUCAGGAAGAACACCGAUGGCGAAGGCAGC
This 672-nucleotide ribosomal RNA is filed under the name uncultured bacterium. Its description in RNAcentral is "bacterial SSU rRNA". It matches the Rfam family "Bacterial small subunit ribosomal RNA", at positions 60 to 725 of the family's 1533-position model. The record is from RNAcentral.